UACGGAGGUGGCAAGCGUUGCUCGGAAUCACUGGGCGUAAAGGGCGCGUAGGCGGACCUGCAAGUCGGGGGUGAAAGCCCGAGGCUCAACCUCGGAACUGCCUUCGAUACUGCGGGUCUCGAGUCCGGGAGAGGUGAGUGGAAUUCCUAGUGUAGAGGUGAAAUUCGUAGAUAUUAGGAAGAACACCAGUGGCGAAGGCGGCUCACUGGCCCGGUACUGACGCUGAGGCACGAAGGCCAGGGGAGCAAACGGG
This 253-nucleotide ribosomal RNA is filed under the name uncultured bacterium. RNAcentral describes it as "partial 16S ribosomal RNA". It matches the Rfam family "Bacterial small subunit ribosomal RNA", at positions 524 to 776 of the family's 1533-position model. The record is from RNAcentral.